GGAGGUGUGGCUGAGUGGUUGAAGGCACUUGUCUUGAAAACAAGAGACCGUUUACGCGGUCCGGGAGUUCGAAUCCCCCCGCCUCCG
RNAcentral lists this transfer RNA (87 nucleotides) under Candidatus Nomurabacteria bacterium. Its description in RNAcentral is "tRNA-Ser". It matches the Rfam family "tRNA". Rfam says of the family: Transfer RNA (tRNA) molecules are approximately 80 nucleotides in length. Their secondary structure includes four short double-helical elements and three loops (D, anti-codon, and T loops). The record is from RNAcentral. RNAcentral also lists the same sequence under 1 other name. Lineage: Bacteria; Candidatus Nomuraibacteriota.